UCUAAAUCAUCCCAUUUUAUAUAUGUCAAUCAGAUAAUGACUUCUUCUAAACUAGGGCAGGCAAAAAUUAAGAAAAUUCCCACAGCCUUACAAGUUACAAAAUCACGUUUCUUAUCAUCAAAUAAGAGCAUUUAGCAUAACAAAACAAGAAUUGUGCAAGAGAACUCAACCCAAUGAGGCAUAAUCAAGCUGUAAUCCUUAUACAAGGGAACUCAAGUACUCAACUAUGCAAAGACUACGCUAACAAAUAUAACAGAGCAUCAUAUGCAAAACUAAUACACCAGGUUUUCCUCUUACUGGAAAAAAUCUUUAUAUGAUCUCUAAGGUGUAAGUAAAGCUGCCCUAGCACACAGAUUUAUAGUGAAAUUAAUUACAAUCCACAUAAAGUCCCUUCCCUGCUUUCCUAAAAAUCAAAUACGACCAAUAAUCUAAUUAGCAACGUAAGAAUUGUACACAGAGUGUAAGAUUAGAUGGAGCGACGGCAAGAGAGACAGUGAGACGCUGAUUGACAGAGAGGGGGUAGCGACGGGGAGCGAGAGGGGUAGCUAUGGGGAGCAGAGAGAAGUAGCGACAAGAGAGGUUUUGCUAUUAAAUUAAUUUCAAAGAGCGUUUUAAAUAUAAAUGAAUUGAAUCAUCUCAAUUGCCACAUGCCCACAUCAUUAUCAUAAUCAAGAGAUGGUUAUUAAGCUACAA
Molecule: unclassified non-coding RNA, 693 nt
Filed under: Hevea brasiliensis (rubber tree)
Lineage: Eukaryota; Viridiplantae; Streptophyta; Magnoliopsida; Malpighiales; Euphorbiaceae
Source: RNAcentral